Coffea arabica (coffee) is the source of this 880-nucleotide non-coding RNA. Lineage: Eukaryota; Viridiplantae; Streptophyta; Magnoliopsida; Gentianales; Rubiaceae. The record is from RefSeq and is a predicted model, not a curated record.
UGCCGUGCAACUCCUUCUUUUUCUGCUCCAGGAACAGCCGGCCAAGGAAACAAAAGAAACAACUCAAAGCUCUUCAAAUUCCAUCUUCAUUUCUUCAACAAAACACCACCAAACUCCACCAAAAUUGAACCACACCUAGCUAAUCACUUGGUGAUCAUCUUAAGCUAGAAAAGGGGCUUCAUUUCCACGGUUUUCUUGAGCUUCAAAGUGACCAAAAAUUCUGAUUUAGUCAUCAAGAGAGGCGCUCAAGGGGACCUUCAAGAGGAACUAGAAGUGGACGCCUAGACACUUGUUUGAGUAUUUACUCUCUUGUUGCAAUAGGACUGGGCUCGGUCGGGUAGGUUGGAACCCUGGGCCACCGUUUCAGUAAACUCGAGUAUUACCACUGGAGGGAUAAGGUGAUGGCCAGUCAAACCGAGGGGAUCCGGAAGUCAUAAGGUGCAGAUGACCGACAGAGUUCCACUGGAACACCGUAUCCUACAGUAUAUAUUUACCUUGUGUCAUGAUAAUUGUUUCACGCUAAAAUGCCAACAUGAAAUCCUGAGCCAUGCCUGUGUUAUGCUCCAUACCUGUUAUCUGUCCAAUGUACUCAUAUCAUGAUACCUGUUUCAUGUUAAUGCUCCAUACCUGUAACAUGCUUAUAAUUACUCGCACCUGUAAUAAGCUCCAAUCACUUGUGAACUAUACAUGCCAAUGUCUUGAACCAUGAUAACUGUCUCAUAAUAAAUGUAUCAUACCAUGAUACAUGUCUCAAAUUAACCGUACAAUGAUUAUCACCUCAUGAUAACACGCCAUUGUGUAACAUUAAAUCAUGCAUAUGAUAUGCCCAACUUACUUGAUUUAUUUGAACUGUUAGAGUGUCUUGGAACCUCACUGGGCU